This is a long non-coding RNA of Homo sapiens (human), 1268 nucleotides long. Ensembl annotates it as long intergenic non-protein coding RNA 2241. NCBI's taxonomy places the organism in Eukaryota, Metazoa, Chordata, Mammalia, Primates, Hominidae. The record is from Ensembl.
CUGUACAAGCUCUCGCCUGCCGCCAUGUAAACGUUCUUUGCUCCUGCUUCGUCUUCUGCCGUGAUUGUGAGGCCUCCCCAGCCAUGUGGAACUACUCAUCACUCACUGCAGAUGUUACUUUAAGACAUUCUGGAGCAGCGUCAUGUGCAGGAGAAAAUAGUAUCAUCUCAGCCUUCUAUGAAAUCAAGGCAAUAUGUGCGUAGUGCCUCCGCCCAUCUCUCUCUUGCUCCUGGUCUCAUCGUGACGGGCCUGGUCCUGCCUCACUUUAUGCCACGACUAAGAGCUCCCUGAGGCCUCUCCAGAAGCAGAUAUCACUAUGCUUCCUACACAGCCUGCAGAACCUUCUCUUGCCUGCCACCAUGUAAGAUAUGCUUUUACUCUUCCGCCUUCCACCGUGACUGUGAGGCCUCCCCAGCCAUGUGAAACUGCCUUUGAGCUUAUACUGAAUUAUACCACCAGCUUUCCUAGGUCUUGAAGCUUACAGACAGCAGAUCUUGGGACUUCUCAGGCACCAUAAUCAAUCAUAGAUAAAUGAUCCAAUGAUUCGGAACUUGAAAAGUGGUAGCUUUAUGAAUUCUCCUUAAGAAGAAACCUGUGCCCUGAUCUUGCCUACUCACCCAAAGGCACUGUGAGAUAGCAUCAAAGGAACAGCUAGUAAGAGACACAGAGCCAGAAAUCAGGGAAGUAAAAUACACUUGACAUCUACGUUCGGAAAGAAAUUUUAGGAGGCAGAAGCAAAUGGAUCAGAAGCUGCUUAUAUUUUUGCAAGAUUACCAAAGAAACCAUUGGUGGAGAAAGUUCUGUGACCAACUUGUCUGAGUCUAGUAAGAUUGAACGCUCACACACAAGUUUCAUGAAGUGGGUUUGAUACUUACAGAUAAGCAGCAAGGACCAACAGAAGCUGAUGAUCUAUGGUGAACUUUUUCCCAAGGCUCCGGAAAGCUGCCUAAAGUAGAUGGAGUCUUCUCUGUGUGUGCCCCACUGGUCCUGCAGUUGAAGGAUCCGGUAAAGCAGCCUGCCCUUGGUUUUAUACUCCAGAGGAACGUGAUUCGCUGGACUAAAGCAUUGAAGUGCAUCCUGUUUCCGGGGGGCACUGGAACAGAGCCUGGUCUGUUCUAGCCAGUCCCUUUCUAUCUCAGGAUAACAUUCUACAGUUAUUCUUGAGAACUAUAAUCAAAUAAGCAGGGAGAACUGGGUAAGUCCAAGGCUUAUCUAUACAAGCCUUUAAAUAUUCAAGACCAAAAAAAAAAAAAAAAAAAAAAAAAAAA